GCAAAUCGUGUGCCACAGGGCGGCGAAAUGCGAUGGGUACGGGCGUGGUUCAGAAUUAUUAGGCGGAAAGGUCAAGGAGGCGGGUAGUCGCGACGGGGAGCAAAAUUCAGGGGUCAACCCUGAGCGUGCUUCCGAUACGGGCUGACUAGAGGUAUGCAGGGGAGAACGUAAUUCCUGGUGUAGCGGUGGAAUGCGCAGAUAUCAGGAGGAACACCGGUGGCGAAGGCGGUUCUCUGGGCAUUACCUGACGCUGAGGAGCGAAAGCAUGGGGAGCGAACAGGAUUAGAUACCCUAGUAGUC
This 300-nucleotide ribosomal RNA is filed under the name uncultured Desulfoluna sp. RNAcentral's name for it is "bacterial SSU rRNA". It matches the Rfam family "Bacterial small subunit ribosomal RNA", at positions 496 to 795 of the family's 1533-position model. The record is from RNAcentral. Lineage: Bacteria; Pseudomonadati; Thermodesulfobacteriota; Desulfobacteria; Desulfobacterales; Desulfolunaceae.